Molecule: non-coding RNA, 462 nt
Organism: Phascolarctos cinereus (koala)
Lineage: Eukaryota; Metazoa; Chordata; Mammalia; Diprotodontia; Phascolarctidae
Source: RefSeq, a predicted model, not a curated record
GGAAGCAGUGAAAGCAGCUCUCGUGCCAGUGCCGAUCCUUGUAGGAAAGAUCCUGCAGAAUUCCAAACCACCAAGAAAAUGGUAGGCAUGGUCCUGGGAGCACCGUACCAAAGAAAUGACAGAUCUUUUGAUCAAGCCUAUGCCUUGUGCCUGGAACACUUGCCCCUUCUCACCUCCACCUCUUGGGACCCCUAAAUCCCUUCAAGGCUCAGCUCCAGAGUGACCUCCUGCAAGAGACGUCAUUGAUCCUCAUCCAGAAUGAAGGACGAACAACAGCCUUCAGGAGACCUUUCUGGUAUAUCCCCAUAGUUGUUGAUGCCCCACCUCCAAAUCACUUUGCUUUUAUAUUGUAUGUAUCCUUUAUCUUUUUUAUCUGUGAACAUAGUGUACCACCUCUAAGAAUUUAAGCUCCUUGAAGGCAGGGAUUGUUUUGUAUUUUCAAGUCCAGCACCUAGCAUGAUU